RNAcentral lists this long non-coding RNA (1641 nucleotides) under Papio anubis (olive baboon). RNAcentral describes it as "lncRNA (ENSPANG00000045534.1)". The record is from RNAcentral. Lineage: Eukaryota; Metazoa; Chordata; Mammalia; Primates; Cercopithecidae.
AGAAGACAAAUCUGGAUGGUGGUCUGACUGCUUACUGGUGCAGCAGGGAUUGCAGAGAGUGGUGAAAUGUGUUUCUGAUUCACAGCUGAUGGUUUAUAGGACCAUAGUGCUCCUCUACCCCAUGACUUCCACCUCUUCCCCGCUGCCCGCAAUCCACUGGCACUCUCCGUAGCAGGAAGGAGAAAUAAGUGGCUUGACAGCUUUGACGCGUGUUGCCGUAAGGCUGCCGAGCUCUCUGGGUGUCUAACCUUCCCUUCUUGUCAUCAGCUAUUAAAACUACUAAAACAGAAGAAUGCUUAACCACUCCAGCUGUUAAAACAUUAGUACAUGCUUUGUCUCAUGAGGCCAACACAGUACUUCAAAACCAAACACUUAGGAAUUUCUUCUCAACCAUCGUUGCUGCAGCCCCAGGGAAAAUCAAGACAGAUGUGAGUGGUCAUGGAAGCUCACAGAUCAUAAAUUUGACCCUGCACUGGAUGGAUCAGCUAACCCUACCCAGAUGGGUAACCUGGCUCAACCAGUUCUGCCAUCCCACCCAGGAACAGAAGACAGCAAGAAAACUUCACUUUGACCCCUUAUGAUUCCAUCUCCAACCUGAUCAAUCAGCACUUCCCACUUCCCAAGCCCCUACCUGCCAAAUUAUCUUUAAAAACUUAAAUCACUGAAUGCUCAGAAAGACUGAUUUCAGUAAUAAUAAAACUCCGGUCUCCUGCACAGGUGGCUCUGCGUGAAUUGCUCUUUCUCCACUGCAAUUCCCCUGUCUUGAUAAAUUGGCUCUGUUUAGGCAGCGGGCAAAGUGAAUCCAUUGGGCAGUUAUAUAUGUAUGUUUAUAUUGUGAGGGGUAAGGCUGUUGGGCCCCUGGAGGUUUGCUGAAAAUCACUUACAUGAGAGAUUGAUUAAUAGGGGAAAAAGCAUACAAAUUUAUUUAAUGUGUAUACAUGGGAGGCUUCUGAAUGAAGAACCAAUCUGUUAAUGGGGUACGAAAGCUCAUAUACUACUUUGAGGUUACAGAAAAAAUUCGGGCUUAGAGCAUCGCCAAAACCAGGUUAUAGUGGCAAGACAGGUAAUGGGAGGGAGAAAGGAUGGGUAUUGGCUAGCGAAGGUGGUCUUGUUAGGUAGAUGAAGCCUCAUAGGCAAUAGCCCUCAGAGAGAAUAAAUGGUAAAUGCUUCUUUUCAGACAUUUAAAGGGGUCAGACUCUGUUAAGCUCUCCUAGAUCUUGGAAAGGCCUAGAAAGGGAAGGCCUGGCUGCAAUAAUGGAAAUUCUAUGCAGAUGCAAAUUUAUCCUACAAAAGAUAGCUUUGCAGGCUCACUUCAUUCUGCUGACUCUGUGGCAGGCAUUUCAAAAUAUGUCACAUACAUUUAUUUUGCAGUAAGAUUAUCUGUCUAUCUAUCUAUCUAUCUAAUCUAUCUACCACAAAGUUUAAAAAAAUUGGAGACUUAGAAAUAUAUUGGGUAUUUCUCAUCCUUCUCCUAUGGUACUACAUUAUGCCAUGUUUUCUAUGUCUAGAAUAUCAUUUAAUGCCUUAUUUUAGAAAGCAUUGUCUGAGUAUAUAUUAUAAAUAUAAAUAGAAUGUAAGAUUUUGAGUACAUGAUAUCAUGUGCAUUUACUAAUAUUCCACAUACCUGUGUGAUAUCAGCAC